RNAcentral lists this ribosomal RNA (300 nucleotides) under Pratylenchus penetrans. RNAcentral describes it as "eukaryotic LSU rRNA". It matches the Rfam family "Eukaryotic large subunit ribosomal RNA", at positions 666 to 940 of the family's 3401-position model. The record is from RNAcentral. Lineage: Eukaryota; Metazoa; Nematoda; Chromadorea; Rhabditida; Pratylenchidae.
CCAAGGAGUUUAUCGUGUGCGCAAGUCAUUGGGUGUUGAAAACUCAAAGGCGCAAUGAAAGUAAAGAAUCCGCAAGGAUACGACGUGUGAUCUGAGCAAUCACGAUUGCCUGGAGCAACAUGGCCCCAUUCUGGUCGCUUGCGACGGGGUGGAGGAAGAGCGUACGCGGUGAGACCCGAAAGAUGGUGAACUAUUCCUGAGCAGGAUGAAGCCAGAGGAAACUCUGGUGGAAGUCCGAAGCGAUUCUGACGUGCAAAUCGAUCGUCUGACUUGGGUAUAGGGGCGAAAGACUAAUCGAAC